Molecule: ribosomal RNA, 738 nt
Filed under: uncultured Bacteroidales bacterium
Lineage: Bacteria; Pseudomonadati; Bacteroidota; Bacteroidia; Bacteroidales
Description: bacterial SSU rRNA
Rfam family: Bacterial small subunit ribosomal RNA
Source: RNAcentral
CGCUAGCUACAGGCUUAACACAUGCAAGUCGAGGGGCAGCAUUUUAGUUUGCUUGCAAACUAAAGAUGGCGACCGGCGCACGGGUGAGUAACACGUAUCCAACCUGCCGAUAACUCGGGGAUAGCCUUUCGAAAGAAAGAUUAAUAUCCGAUGGUAUAUUAAAACCGCAUGGUUUUACUAUUAAAGAAUUUCGGUUAUCGAUGGGGAUGCGUUCCAUUAGUUUGUUGGCGGGGUAACGGCCCACCAAGACUACGAUGGAUAGAGGUUCUGAGAGGAAGGUCCCCCACAUUGGAACUGAGACACGGUCCAAACUCCUACGGGAGGCAGCAGUGAGGAAUAUUGGUCAAUGGACGAGAGUCUGAACCAGCCAAGUAGCGUGAAGGAUGACUGCCCUAUGGGUUGUAAACUUCUUUUAUAUGGGAAUAAAGUAUUCCACGUGUGGGAUUUUGUAUGUACCAUAUGAAUAAGGAUCGGCUAACUCCGUGCCAGCAGCCGCGGUAAUACGGAGGAUCCGAGCGUUAUCCGGAUUUAUUGGGUUUAAAGGGAGCGUAGGUGGAUUGUUAAGUCAGUUGUGAAAGUUUGCGGCUCAACCGUAAAAUUGCAGUUGAAACUGGCAGUCUUGAGUACAGUAGAGGUGGGCGGAAUUCGUGGUGUAGCGGUGAAAUGCUUAGAUAUCACGAAGAACUCCGAUUGCGAAGGCAGCUCACUAGACUGCAACUGACACUGAUGCUCGAAAGU